Molecule: transfer RNA, 73 nt
Filed under: Kofleriaceae bacterium
Lineage: Bacteria; Pseudomonadati; Myxococcota; Haliangiales; Kofleriaceae
Description: tRNA-Thr
Rfam family: tRNA
About the family: Transfer RNA (tRNA) molecules are approximately 80 nucleotides in length.
Source: RNAcentral
GCUGGUGUAGCUCAGUUGGUAGAGCACCUGAUUUGUAAUCAGAAGGUCGCGAGUCCGAUUCCCGCCACCAGCU